RNAcentral lists this ribosomal RNA (355 nucleotides) under Stylogaster pauliani. RNAcentral's name for it is "partial 12S ribosomal RNA". Lineage: Eukaryota; Metazoa; Arthropoda; Insecta; Diptera; Conopidae. The record is from RNAcentral.
AAUGAUUGUAUUUAAAGUGGUUGGGUAUUAAUAGUUAUGUUCUUUAAACCUAAAGAUUUUGGCGGUAUUUUAGUCUAUUCAGAGGAACCUGCCCUGUGAUUGAUAAUCCACGUUGGACCUUUCUUUAAAUAAUUAGUUUAUAUACCGUCGUUAUAAGAAUAUUUUAUAAGAAUAAUAAUAUUUAAUUUUCAUAAAGUUGAAAUAUUUCAGAUCAAGGUGUAGCUUAUAUUAAAGUAGAGGUGGGUUACAAUAAAUUUAUUUAAACGGAUAUUUUAAUGCAAUGUUAGAAUUGAAGGUGGAUUUGAUAGUAAAUUUAAAUAGAUUGUUAAAUUGAUAUAAGCUCUAAAAUGUGUAC